ACAUAUGCUCCAGCAACAUUACCAACGGUGUGGAGAGGAAGUCUACCCAAAGACUUCAUUGUUCCAAAGUCUGCAGAAAGGAUACUUUUUUGUGGUUGGCGGCGAGAUAUGGAAGAUAUGAUUAUGGUAUUAGAUGCCUUUCUAGCACCUGGUUCAGAGCUUUGGAUGUUCAAUGACGUACCUGAAAAUGAGAGGGAAAAGAAGCUUAUUGAUGGUGGCCUGGACAUCAACAGGUUGGUGAAUAUAUCGCUGGUUAAUCGAGAGGGAAAUGCUGUUAUACGGCGUCACCUGGAGAGUCUUCCCUUGG
Molecule: unclassified non-coding RNA, 307 nt
Filed under: Hevea brasiliensis (rubber tree)
Lineage: Eukaryota; Viridiplantae; Streptophyta; Magnoliopsida; Malpighiales; Euphorbiaceae
Source: RNAcentral